This is a long non-coding RNA of Halichondria panicea, 606 nucleotides long. RefSeq lists it as uncharacterized. The transcript is spliced from 3 exons. The record is from RefSeq and is a predicted model, not a curated record. NCBI's taxonomy places the organism in Eukaryota, Metazoa, Porifera, Demospongiae, Suberitida, Halichondriidae.
AAGGAGGACUGAGUCUGAAAAGAACAUUAUGCCCAUUGCAUCCAAAAUAUUUAUGCUUGCUGCUUUGCUCUGUUGCGCAGGCUCAUCCACUGAUGAAACUUUCAGGCCUAUAUUGACUAGUCGCUUAAACAACUCAUCUCUCACAUUGAAUUGUUCAGUGAACUGUUCCUACGCAAAAAUUAUUUGGAAUAUAGGAAAUUCUAGAUCUAAUCGUAACAAUAUCUACAAUAUCAAUGGAAUUCAAAAUUUUAUUCAAACAAAUACUACUAAUCGGCGUUGCACCAUGGAUAAUACAACACCACAAAUAUUUGAGCUAAUAAUUGACAUUUCGAUUCCAAACAUAAGUUCAAUUUUGCCAAGUAUCACUUGUGUAGGUGUGCUAGGAAGGGACGACAAUUUUGUCUUCAGUGCAAAUACUGUUAAUCUAGCGAUAUUACUCACUGAAAAAACAAGUGUGAACCAAAGUGAAACAUCUUGGCCUAUAUUGACGUUGUGUUUUUCACAAGUUUCAGGAAGAGGAGAGUGGGUGCCUAAUCCUGCUGACCUACUUUGUGAAGAAGGUGUCUUAUACAAGAUAGCUUCUGACAUGACAUUAUAUAAUAAUUG